Bombina bombina (fire-bellied toad) is the source of this 282-nucleotide long non-coding RNA. RefSeq lists it as uncharacterized. The transcript is spliced from 2 exons. Lineage: Eukaryota; Metazoa; Chordata; Amphibia; Anura; Bombinatoridae. The record is from RefSeq and is a predicted model, not a curated record.
UGAUCAUAGAGCAGUCAUCCUGAUGAGCUGAAGAAAUUUUGGAGGUCUCAAUGGGUUAAGAAGAUUUCUACUUCUGUGUCCACUAGAGGGGGAGUAUAGAUCAUGUGAUUAUAUGCAAAGUACUGUUACACCUGAACAGGUAAUUAAGUCCCUCCCCUAUUGAAGGAUAUAAAAUGUGAACAGGGGUAUGGUUAUGUAGAACAUGAUUAAGGUCAAUUGCUGACUGAAACGUUGUUACUGUAUGCUGUGAUGUCUCACCAUUAAAGGAUUUUUGUGAUGAAA